CACCCCUCAAGCUCCGGCUUGGUGUUGGGCCCACGCCAUCGUCUAGGUGGCGGGCCUCAAAAUCAGUGGCGACGCCCUUCGGCUUCAAGCGUAGUAAUCUUUUCUCGCUUGGAAGGUCCGGUAGGAGUCUGUUCCGCCAUAACUGGGAAUGCGAGUUCCCUUCUCCUAUA
Molecule: unclassified non-coding RNA, 170 nt
Filed under: uncultured Ascomycota
Lineage: Eukaryota; Fungi; Ascomycota
Description: sequence contains ITS2
Source: RNAcentral